Molecule: ribosomal RNA, 586 nt
Filed under: uncultured bacterium
Lineage: Bacteria
Description: partial 16S ribosomal RNA
Rfam family: Bacterial small subunit ribosomal RNA
Source: RNAcentral
UGGGGAAUUUUGGACAAUGGGCGAAAGCCUGAUCCAGCAAUGCCGCGUGUGUGAAGAAGGCCUUCGGGUUGUAAAGCACUUUUGUCCGGAGAGAAAUCCUUGGCUCUAAUACAGUCGGGGGAUGACGGUACCGGAAGAAUAAGCACCGGCUAACUACGUGCCAGCAGCCGCGGUAAUACGUAGGGUGCAAGCGUUAAUCGGAAUUACUGGGCGUAAAGCGUGCGCAGGCGGUUUGCUAAGACCGAUGUGAAAUCCCCGGGCUCAACCUGGGAACUGCAUUGGUGACUGGCAGGCUAGAGUAUGGCAGAGGGGGGUAGAAUUCCCACGUGUAGCAGUGAAAUGCGUAGAGAUGUGGAGGAAUACCGAUGGCGAAGGCAGCCCCCUGGGCCAAUACUGACGCUCAUGCACGAAAGCGUGGGGAGCAAACAGGAUUAGAUACCCUGGUAGUCCACGCCCUAAACGAUGUCAACUAGUUGUUGGGGAUUCAUUUCCCUUAGUAACGUAGCUAACGCGUGAAGUUGACCGCCUGGGAGUACGGUCGCAAGAUUAAAACUCAAAGGAAUUGACGGGGUCAUAGCUGUUUCCU